This 518-nucleotide ribosomal RNA is filed under the name Heterixalus luteostriatus. RNAcentral describes it as "partial 16S ribosomal RNA". It matches the Rfam family "Bacterial large subunit ribosomal RNA", at positions 1923 to 2606 of the family's 2925-position model. Lineage: Eukaryota; Metazoa; Chordata; Amphibia; Anura; Hyperoliidae. The record is from RNAcentral.
UUUAACGGCCGCGGUAUCAUAACCGUGCGAAGGUAGCAUAAUAAAUUGUUCUCUAAAUAGGGACUAGUAUGAAAGGCACCACGAGGGCUUAACUGUCUCCCUUUUCCAAUUAAUGAAACUGAUCUUCUCGUGAAGAAGCGAGAAUUAAAAUAUAAGACGAGAAGACCCCAUGGAGCUUUAAACUUCUCAUCAUUUACUUUUAAAUAUACCACCACAUACAGUAAAAUUGUUACCUGAGAGUUUUCGGCUGGGGUGACCCUGGAGCAAAACAAAUCCUCCAGGAUGAAUGGAGUAAAAUUCUAAUCUAAGAGCUACAGCUCUAAGAAUCAAAAUAUUGACAUAUUUGAUCCAAUUACUUGAUCAACGAACCAAGUUACCCUGGGGAUAACAGCGCAAUCCAUUUCAAGAGCCCCUAUCGACAAAUGGGUUUACGACCUCGAUGUUGGAUCGGGGUAUCCCAGUGGCGCAGCCGCUACUAAAGGUUCGUUUGUUCAACGAUUAAUAACCCCACGUGAUCU